Molecule: ribosomal RNA, 450 nt
Filed under: uncultured bacterium
Lineage: Bacteria
Description: bacterial SSU rRNA
Rfam family: Bacterial small subunit ribosomal RNA
Source: RNAcentral
GUGGGGAAUAUUGGACAAUGGGCGAAAGCCUGAUCCAGCCAUGCCGCGUGUGUGAAGAAGGUCUUCGGAUUGUAAAGCACUUUAAGUUGGGAGGAAGGGCAGUAAGUUAAUACCUUGCUGUUUUGACGUUACCGACAGAAUAAGUACCGGCUAACUUCGUGCCAGCAGCCGCGGUAAUACGAAGGGUGCAAGCGUUAAUCGGAAUUACUGGGCGUAAAGCGCGCGUAGGUGGUUUUGUAAGUUGGAGGUGAAAUCCCCGGGCUCAACCUGGGAACUGCCUCCAAAACUACUGAGCUAGAGUGCGGUAGAGGGUUGUGGAAUUUCCUGUGUAGCGGUGAAAUGCGUAGAUAUAGGAAGGAACACCAGUGGCGAAGGCGACUACCUGGACUGAUACUGACACUGAGGUGCGAAAGCGUGGGGAGCAAACAGGAUUAGAUACCCCUGUAGUCC